CCCUCCUAAAUUUCCUUCGGUCAAAUAUUGAAAAGUUUCGUUACAAAAUUUGCACUUAACACUAUUAGUACCUUCUAUUAUUUCAAAAAAUUCCAUACUGGACUUCUUCUUUUACGAAUUAGAAGUCGGGUCAUUACUAUUACUACCAAAAGCUACAGAACUAGCAUCAUUAAACAUAUUGUAAAAAUGAAAAUAUAAGCUUAAAUUAAAUAUGCAAUUAAAAUAUUAAAUAAGAGAAAAAGUUGGAAAGAG
RNAcentral lists this long non-coding RNA (252 nucleotides) under Nicotiana benthamiana. RNAcentral describes it as "long non-coding RNA (NBEN_LNC037682)". Lineage: Eukaryota; Viridiplantae; Streptophyta; Magnoliopsida; Solanales; Solanaceae. The record is from RNAcentral.